Long non-coding RNA from Malaya genurostris, 233 nucleotides. RefSeq lists it as uncharacterized. The record is from RefSeq and is a predicted model, not a curated record. The transcript is spliced from 2 exons. Lineage: Eukaryota; Metazoa; Arthropoda; Insecta; Diptera; Culicidae.
CGGUUUAUUAUUCAUUAUCGGUCGCUGUAGAAACAACAUCAAGCGAUUGAUGAAAAGGAAGAUUAUCAUUUGAUUCCCGGAUUCAAUUCGCUCGAAUCCGACGGAAAAUCGCAGGAAAAACUCCACCGGACAGAGCCUUGGAUCAACUGAUGCUAUCAAGCAAUGCUAAGCAAUAUUUCACCAGGUAUAUUAUCAUUUGAUUUGAUGCGAAAAUAAAAUAGAGUUUAAUGAAA